Molecule: ribosomal RNA, 399 nt
Filed under: uncultured bacterium
Lineage: Bacteria
Description: bacterial SSU rRNA
Rfam family: Bacterial small subunit ribosomal RNA
Source: RNAcentral
GAAUUCACUAGUGAUUCAGGCCUAACACAUGCAAGUCGAACGGCAGCACGGGGGCAACCCUGGUGGCGAGUGGCGAACGGGUGAGUAAUAUAUCGGAACGUACCCAGUAGUGGGGGAUAACUAUCCGAAAGGAUAGCUAAUACCGCAUACGAUCUGUGGAUGAAAGCAGGGGAUCUUCGGACCUUGUGCUAUUGGAAUGGCCGAUAUCUGAUUAGCUAGUUGGUAGGGUAAAAGCCUACCAAGGCGACGAUCAGUAGCUGGUCUGAGAGGACGACCAGCCACACUGGAACUGAGACACGGUCCAGACUCCUACGGGAGGCAGUAGUGGGGAAUUUUGGACAAUGGGGGCAACCCUGAUCCAGCAAAGCCGCGUGAGUGAAGAAGGCCCUCGGGUUGUAA